This 1401-nucleotide ribosomal RNA is filed under the name uncultured organism. Its description in RNAcentral is "bacterial SSU rRNA". It matches the Rfam family "Bacterial small subunit ribosomal RNA". The record is from RNAcentral.
UAAGACAUGCAAGUCGAACGGACCAUAUAAUUGGGUAACCGAAAGUAUGGUUAGUGGCGAAAGGGUGAGGAAUAGAUAGGAACGUACCCUGUGCUCUGGGAUAGCGUCUGAAGCUUCGGCUUCUUCCGAAAGGGGCGGUAAUACCAGAUAAUGUCCUUCGGGACCAAAGAUUUAUCGGCAUUGGAGCGGCCUAUCUCCUAUCAGCUUGUUGGUGAGGUAACGGCUCACCAAGGCAACGACGGGUAGCGGGACUGAGAGGUUGGCCCGCCACAUCGGGACUGAGACACUGCCCGGACCUCCACGGAGGGCUGCAGUAACGGAUAUUGGGCAAUGGGCGAAAGCCUGACCCAGCAAUGCCGCGUGCAGGAUGAAGCCCCUAGGGGUGUAAACUGCUGUCAGGGGUCAGAAAGCUGGUUUCGGCCAGUUGAUCAACCCCAGAGGAAGUCACGGCUAACUUCGUGCCAGCAGCCGCGGUAAUACGAAGGUGGCAAGCGUUAUUCGGAAUCAUUGGGCUUAAAGGGCACGCAGGCGGAACAGUGUGUGUUGUGUGAAAUCCCCCGGCUUAACCGGGGAAUUGCACAGCAAACUGCUGUUCUUGAGGCAGGUAGGGGUGCAUGGAACUCUUGGUGGAGCGGUGGAAUGCGUAGAUAUCAAGAGGAACGCCAGAGGUGAAGACGGUGCACUGGGCCUGUCCUGACGCUGAGGUGCGAAAGCGUGGGGAGCGAACGGGAUUAGAUACCCCGGUAGUCCACGCCCGUAAACGAUGUCUACUAGGUCGUGGGUGUUCUGACACAUUCACGGCCGGAGCAAAAGUGUUUUAGUAAACCGCCUGGGGAGUACGGCCGCAAGGUUAAAACUCAAAUGAAUUGACGGGGGCUCACACAAGCGGUGGAGCAUGUGGAUUAAUUCGAAGCAACGCGCAGAACCUUACCUGGGUUUGACAUGCUUGGAUGCCUGCUCUGAAAGGAGUUAGGCUGCCUUCGGGUGAAACUUGCACAGGUGCUGCAUGGCUGUCGUCAGCUCGCGUCGUGAGAUGUCGGGUUAAGUCCUUUAACGAGCGAAACCCUUGCCGUUAGUUGCCAGCGAGUAAUGUCGGGGACUCUAACGGGACUGCCGGUGUUAAACCGGAGGAAGGUGGGGAUGACGUCAAGUCCUCAUGGCCUUUAUGCCCAGGGCUUCACACGUGCUACAAUGGCAAUUACAGAGCGACGCGAUACCGCGAGGUGGAGCAAAUCGCAAAAAAAUUGCCUCAGUUCGGAUUGCAGGCUGGCAAUUCGCAUGCAUGAAGUCGGAAUCGCUAGUAAUCGCGUAUCAGCAAUGACGCGGUGAAUGUGUUCCUGAGCAUUGUACACACCGCCCGUCAAGUGAUGGAAGCCGGGAGUACCCGAAGUCGGGUUGCUA